GGGGAAUUUUCCGCAAUGGGCGCAAGCCUGACGGAGCAACGCCGCGUGAGGGAUGAAGGCCUCUGGGCUGUAAACCUCUUUUCUCAAGGAAGAAGAACUGACGGUACUUGAGGAAUAAGCCACGGCUAAUUCCGUGCCAGCAGCCGCGGUAAUACGGGAGUGGCAAGCGUUAUCCGGAAUUAUUGGGCGUAAAGCGUCCGCAGGCGGCCUUGAAAGUCUGUCGUUAAAGCGUGGAGCUUAACUCCAUUUCGGCGGUGGAAACUACAAGGCUUGAGUGUGGUAGGGGCAGAGGGAAUUCCCGGUGUAGCGGUGAAAUGCGUAGAUAUCGGGAAGAACACCAGUGGCGAAGGCGCUCUGCUGGGCCAUAACUGACGCUCAUGGACGAAAGCUAGGGGAGCGAAAGGGAUUAGAUACCC
This 416-nucleotide ribosomal RNA is filed under the name cyanobacterium SCGC AAA024-D22. RNAcentral's name for it is "bacterial SSU rRNA". It matches the Rfam family "Bacterial small subunit ribosomal RNA", at positions 356 to 787 of the family's 1533-position model. Lineage: Bacteria; Bacillati; Cyanobacteriota. The record is from RNAcentral.